This is a long non-coding RNA of Rosa rugosa (rugosa rose), 674 nucleotides long. RefSeq lists it as uncharacterized. The record is from RefSeq and is a predicted model, not a curated record. The transcript is spliced from 6 exons. NCBI's taxonomy places the organism in Eukaryota, Viridiplantae, Streptophyta, Magnoliopsida, Rosales, Rosaceae.
GCUCCCGCAAACUUAAGAGACGAUGAAGAAGAACCCAAUACACAAAAGGCCUUUACCUUUUCGCUCCUAUUUUUUUGUUUUUUGGGGAAAGUCGAGUUUUGAGGACUUACACCUUUGUUACUGGUUAAGUAUUGGUGGAUGGGAAGGUGAUCAACAAAGCCGGUACUCCAGUAUCUAAUAAAGCUGUUGUAAAGAAUAUGGCUGAAGUCCCCAAAUAUGUAUCUAGAGCAGGACAUAAGUUAGAAGCUGCUAUUUAUCGAUAUUACUGGCAAAGUAGCUCUUGAUUCAUGUUGGUCAACUGGUGGAUUUACCGACUGUUUACUUCAGUAUGGUGCAUUGUUUGUUUAUGGAGUUGAUGUUGGAUAUGGCCAGGUUGCAGAUGAACUUGUAGCAGAGUUUUCUGACCCUAUCAAUGGUGUCACAUCCCCUGAUCAAAUUGACAAGGUGCGCAUUGAAGUGGCUGAUUAUAUACAGAGUUUGAUGUAGGAAUGUGACUGCCAAGAUGUUUUUUGAGUAAGGCUAUCUAGUUUUGGCUUUGAAGCAAAGCUUGGUGUGGAACUUUUGUACAUUGUUGCUCAUAUGUUUCCAAGCUAGCUUUUGUAAGUUUAGGGGUUUAUUUUGUGAAUUAUGUUGAAUCAUGAAUUUGGAAAGAAAAUUAAUGGGAAAGCCCCUUA